Rhododendron vialii is the source of this 1458-nucleotide long non-coding RNA. RefSeq lists it as uncharacterized. The transcript has 2 exons. NCBI's taxonomy places the organism in Eukaryota, Viridiplantae, Streptophyta, Magnoliopsida, Ericales, Ericaceae. The record is from RefSeq and is a predicted model, not a curated record.
UUUUUUUCUUCUUCUUUCUCAUCUCUCUCUGCUCCUCCUCUGAAAACACCCCCCUCCACUUCUCUCCUUGAUUUCAUCUACUUAGGGUGUGAUUCCGAACAAAACCCAAAACUUAAAGUUGUUAUACGGAAUGCGGGCUUCCUAUCCAUCCGAGAAAAAUCAUGAUCGGACCUCGUGGGCUACGGUUGACUUGGUCAAAGGGUCGGGUUUUGCUCAAAACCCUUGAGGUAGGGAUUUCUUACUCUUGUUAUGCGUUUAUACGGUGUUUAUGUAUCUAGAUUGUGCCUUGUUUCGUUGUUUGAGCUUGUUUCUUCCAUUUCCGAGAAUCUGCAGAACAGGGUCUUCGUUUUUGGGGUUUUACCCCUUCUUAAGCUCAAAAUUGAAUUUUGGUUCCUUCGUAUGAAAUAGAGUAGACUUAAAGCCCGUUCUAAUGCCGCUAGAAUCACUCAAAACCGUUGAGAAUUGAAUUAAUGGUGGAUUUUAGAAGUUUGGUCUCGAAUCUGUCUCGGUUUCUGCUCGUUUUUGGUUUGCGCCCAAUUGCGAAUGGCUGUAGCUUUCUUGUCUGAUAUCCGAUUCAUGCAAACUUUAUAUCGAUUUCGAGGUCUUGAAGUCAGCUUUGUAUUGCCAUUGGAAUUGCCUUAAAACUCUUAGUACACCGAAAGUUAUGAUCGUUUGAGUGGAGGUGUGUCAAUCUGUCACGUUUAUGCGUGACAGAUUCGUAUUGCUUCGAUAAAUGCUGUUUAACCAUCCUUAGAGUGCAGAUUUGACUAGGGUUCCUUCAUACCUUUUAAGCUUCGUUCACUCACACAACUUUUGGGACUGGAAUCAUUCAAAAGUAUUAAGAACUCAAUUUAUAGUGAUUUUUAGAAGAUUGCCCUGUAAUCUGGAAAUCUGGGCAGCGUACAGAGCUUCGUUUUUCAUCGUUUGCUAUGGUUAAACGAUGCUAUUGGUUAUGGGUCCUUAUGGGUUUAAAAGAUUGGUAAGUUGGUGAACUUUUGGCGUUAGAAUCAUUGAAAAAUAUUGGGUAUGAAAUUUUUAAUGAAUUGUCGAACACUGAUUGCUCUCUAGGACAGUUUUGGUCCGUUGAUUCUCGUUCGUCUGUUUUGAUCUGCAAGAUGGGAUCUGUACUUCUCAUACUCCUCGAAGCCGUUAAGAUGGAAUCUGUACUCCUCGUACCAAAGCCGUACUCGAUGUGUGCAUAUGGGAUAGUGUACUUGGAUAGCUUUUGUAGCUGUUUUCGAUCCAGCAAGUGCCCUUCCAACAUUUCAGAAUCCAUUCUCUCUCUCGCUCUCGGAAGGUGAACAGUGAGUCAUUGACUACCCAAUCUCUAGUACUUUAUGUGUUAGUAGCUCGUAUUUAACUUGGUGGAUACCUCUAACCUGGUUUUAUGCCAAACCUGAGGUGUAACAAAGCCAGGCUAAAUAUUGAGUUUGUUUUUAGUUAGUAUAGUUAGUUUUA